Molecule: ribosomal RNA, 468 nt
Filed under: uncultured bacterium
Lineage: Bacteria
Description: partial 16S ribosomal RNA
Rfam family: Bacterial small subunit ribosomal RNA
Source: RNAcentral
GACGAACGCUGGCGGCGUGCUUAACACAUGCAAGUCGAACGGAAAGGCCCUGCUUUUGUGGGGUGCUCGAGUGGCGAACGGGUGAUUAACACGUGAGUAACCUGCCCUUGACUUUGGGUUAACUUCAGGAAACUGGGGCUAAUACCGGAUAGGAGCUCCUGCUGCAUGGUGGGGGUUGGAAAGUUUCGGCGGUUGGGGAUGGACUCGCGGCUUAUCAGCUUGUUGGUGGGGUAGUGGCUUACCAAGGCUUUGACGGGUAGCCGGCCUGAGAGGGUGACCGGCCACAUUGGGACUGAGAUACGGCCCAGACUCCUACGGGAGGCAGCAGUGGGGAAUAUUGCACAAUGGGCGGAAGCCUGAUGCAGCAACGCCGCGUGCGGGAUGACGGCCUUCGGGUUGUAAACCGCUUUCGCCUGUGACGAAGCGUGAGUGACGGUAAUGGGUAAAGAAGCACCGGCUAACUACGUG